Molecule: long non-coding RNA, 1608 nt
Organism: Oncorhynchus tshawytscha (Chinook salmon)
Lineage: Eukaryota; Metazoa; Chordata; Actinopteri; Salmoniformes; Salmonidae
Source: Ensembl
GGCUGUCCUAGAAGUCGCAAAAUACGUCACCUAAUUUGCACAAUUGGCAAUGUGCAUGUAAUUGUGACGGAUGCUGUAGGAGAGAGGGAAAAACGCUGUAGGAGAGAGGGAAAAACGUCGUGGGAGAGACAAAAACAGCCUACAACAAGUCACACAAAAAAAAACAUUCUGGACGUGGAGGGGUGAACAUCUCCUGCUCUGACUGCAGCUGGGAAGGACUGCUGUGCUACGACUGGGUGAAUGCAUUGGGACGGGGUGGGGCCCACGGCAGCACCCGCUGCUCGUUGAGAAGAGAGCAGUGAAAGCACGUAUGGUUCUUAGUCUCCAAUAACACCAGAAAAAGUCGCUGGAUUUGUCGCUUGUUGCUUUUUUUGAAAAUGUGUCGCUAGAGGAGUCUGAAUACACGCUAACGACAAAGCCACUAAGUUGGCAACUGACGGGGGCAUGUCUAGGGGCUGAAACUUUACAGGGGGUUCUAGAAAUGUUGUAAUUGAAUGAGCUGUGCCUCAUUCAUAGCUCCAUUUACCUUUAGCAUAUUGUUGUUUUCUUGGUACACAUUAGAUUUUCCGAAUAUAUAAGGGGUCUGUUUAGAAUACGACUCCCCCUCAGUUUUCUAUUUUGGACUAGUCCAAUACUAGAUUCAAAUCAUGAAAUCCAAUUUUAUUGGUCACAUACACAUGGUUACUAGAAUACUAGAUUCACAUCUGGAACUGGCUAAUGUAUCUCUUUGAGAAUUCAGAUUUUUAAAACAGCACAAUGUUUAGAAACCCUAUUGGCCAGCAUGAUAACAUUUAAAAUGUCUCCUUUUCAUGACCGCUAACAUGUGAAUGGUGGACAUAAUACAGCCUAUAGCCAGUCAGUCCUAUUCAUAUCAGUGAUGAUGGAGGAAAGGAAACAAUGAGAGGAGUGCUUCAAUCUCAACACAAUGAACCCUAGCUAUUUCUAUUGGUGGAGAGUGUAGGACACAAAAUGAUUCACAGCUAUCAAAGAGACCCUUUAGUCUAUGCAAGAGCGUCCAUUGCCUUUAAUAAAGGUCAGGUCAAGUCACAAGACAACCAUUUGGAUUUACACAAGGAGCUUUGGGGGCAGGGGGAGGGAGUGUGCAAGAGGGGAAAUAUGUCAUAGGGAGCUGGGAUAUCAAGAAAAUAUAGGUAUAAUCACCAAUAUCACAUCAUCAUCAUCUGGUAAUCAUUUUCCAUUUACAAUAGUAUUACCCAUCAACAUUUCACCAUCAUUGCCAUUUAUUUUAAUAUCAUACAGAACAUGUGCUAAAAUGUGAAGUCCUACUGGAAUUAUUGCAUUUAUACGCUCUUUGAGACCAAGGAAAAUAACUGCUAGAUUUGAUUUAGUACUCUGUGACAUGAUGACUAGGCUAUUUGAACAUGUGUUUGCAGAAUAUGUGUCUGUUCUGUUGCUAUGCUGGAGGUAUUGAUAUUGCAUCAUGGUACGCUACAUGCCAGUGUUCAAGCAAGAUGUUUGAUUGGGUGUUGAAAAUCUCGUAGGCCUCUUAUAAAAAAAAAAACUGUAUGUUAUCAAAAAUAGGAGAGCUUCUCUGUAAUUAAUAGGGAAACAAAUGAGGAAACAAUCUCAGUUGAUCUACUAAAUAAA